GCGCUUUGGCAGCACAUCUACUAAAAUUGGAAUGAUACAGAGAAGAUUAGCACGGUCCCUGCACAAAGAUGACAUGCAAAUUCGUGAAGCCUUUCAUAUUUAA
Molecule: small nuclear RNA, 103 nt
Organism: Lontra canadensis (Northern American river otter)
Lineage: Eukaryota; Metazoa; Chordata; Mammalia; Carnivora; Mustelidae
Source: RefSeq, a predicted model, not a curated record